This 392-nucleotide long non-coding RNA is filed under the name Manihot esculenta (cassava). RNAcentral describes it as "long non-coding RNA (MESC_LNC007198)". Lineage: Eukaryota; Viridiplantae; Streptophyta; Magnoliopsida; Malpighiales; Euphorbiaceae. The record is from RNAcentral.
CCCUGCACCUGCACAUCUGGGGUUAGGGGAGAGGGGUGAGCUAUAAAGCCCAGUGAGCAGAAUAGAGAAAACAUAUAUUAAAUAUUUCAUGCUUCCAUGAAAUGCAACACAUCACAAACAUAUCACAUAAGGAUGGUAUUGUCACCUAUAGUCCUCAACAUAGUCCAAUCGUGCCAGGGGCGUAGAAUGGGCCUCACUGGUCUUUCUCUUACAUACAUAACAUAACAUAACAUUCCAAUAUGCCAGGGGCGUAGAAUGGGCCUCACUGGUCUUUCUCUUAACAUAGUCCAGGGGCGUAGAAUGGGCCUCACUGGCAAUCCAUACCGUAUCGUCAUCAUAUCAUACCAUAGGAGGACUAGAGGAUCAUCCAAUGACCAAUCCGCAUCCACAUC